Molecule: ribosomal RNA, 451 nt
Filed under: uncultured bacterium
Lineage: Bacteria
Description: partial 16S ribosomal RNA
Rfam family: Bacterial small subunit ribosomal RNA
Source: RNAcentral
GUGGGGAAUAUUGGACAAUGGGGGGAACCCUGAUCCAGCCAUGCCGCGUGUGUGAAGAAGGCCUUUUGGUUGUAAAGCACUUUAAGCGAGGAGGAGGCUACCGAGAUUAAUACUCUUGGAUAGUGGACGUUACUCGCAGAAUAAGCACCGGCUAACUCUGUGCCAGCAGCCGCGGUAAUACAGAGGGUGCAAGCGUUAAUCGGAUUUACUGGGCGUAAAGCGCGCGUAGGUGGCCAAUUAAGUCAAAUGUGAAAUCCCCGAGCUUAACUUGGGAAUUGCAUUCGAUACUGGUUGGCUAGAGUAUGGGAGAGGAUGGUAGAAUUCCAGGUGUAGCGGUGAAAUGCGUAGAGAUCUGGAGGAAUACCGAUGGCGAAGGCAGCCAUCUGGCCCAAUACUGACACUGAGGUGCGAAAGCAUGGGGAGCAAACAGGAUUAGAAACCCCUGUAGUCC